RNAcentral lists this transfer RNA (68 nucleotides) under Digitonthophagus gazella. RNAcentral's name for it is "tRNA-Glu". The record is from RNAcentral. Lineage: Eukaryota; Metazoa; Arthropoda; Insecta; Coleoptera; Scarabaeidae.
AAUUUAUUAGUUUAACUACUAAAACAUUACAUUUUCAAUGUAAAAAUAAAUUUUUUAUUUAUAAAUUA